GAAGAUCCAAAAUGUAUUUCUAAUCAGUUUUAUUGCAAGCAGAAGAACAAUCUCCAGAAGUCCUCUCUUGUCCUGCUGAUGGAUAUCUCCUCCGGCAGCUGUCUACAGAAACUACAGAUUUUUCUGAAGAGGCUCAGAAAAGCGAACGCCCACUCCAAUCUGCAUCUGCGGGUAGCUGGUUCACAUCGAGGCAGCCGUCUAAUGAGAAGCAUUCCUGCGUGAGAGAGGAGAAGAUGGCCGAAUGCAUCUUGCCCCAGACUCCCUCUAUGCCGCAGUGAGCUACAGGUGGUUUGAGAGGUUUCCAAUCAAGUCAUGCCAGAAGAACUCCAAACACAGCAUGCCCUGUGGCUGCAUCGUAUUACGUUUGAACUGUGAGGCGAGUCCUCACCAAUCUCUUACUAUAAGAAACUCUUGGAACAUAAGGAUGACCUCAGGCUAUGUCGAGUUGGACGGAGUGUUGCAUGACCUAUACCUGUUUCUACUCAACCAAGGGAGACAUUGAUUUCUGCUGACAGCGAUAUCUCCAGCUGAACAGACACAAUUGCUAAGGUCUCCCCUGGAAAAGGGAUUAUUGACCUCAAUGGGACUCACCUGGUAAAAAAUGAGUUAAA
Non-coding RNA from Plectropomus leopardus (leopard coralgrouper), 611 nucleotides. NCBI's taxonomy places the organism in Eukaryota, Metazoa, Chordata, Actinopteri, Perciformes, Serranidae. The record is from RefSeq and is a predicted model, not a curated record.